This 87-nucleotide non-coding RNA is filed under the name unclassified sequences. RNAcentral's name for it is "freshwater-2 RNA". It matches the Rfam family "freshwater-2 RNA". Rfam says of the family: Aquatic, esp. fresh water. The record is from RNAcentral.
UAACGUAAUGAUGCGUUUUAUGCAGUAUUAACCCACUGCGUAGUGGCUAAAACCCACAUCGGACUUCUAUAAAGGAGAAAACAAAUG